UACGUAGGGUGCAAGCGUUGUCCGGAAUUAUUGGGCGUAAAGAGCUCUUAGGCGGUCUGUCGCGUCGGAUGUGAAAAUCCAGGGCUCAACCCUGGACCUGCAUUCGAUACGGGCAGACUAGAGUUCGGCAGGGGAGACUGGAAUUCCUGGUGUAGCGGUGAAAUGCGCAGAUAUCAGGAGGAACACCGGUGGCGAAGGCGGGUCUCUGGGCCGAUACUGACGCUGAGGAGCGAAAGCGUGGGGAGCGAACAGG
RNAcentral lists this ribosomal RNA (253 nucleotides) under uncultured bacterium. RNAcentral's name for it is "partial 16S ribosomal RNA". It matches the Rfam family "Bacterial small subunit ribosomal RNA", at positions 524 to 776 of the family's 1533-position model. The record is from RNAcentral.